This 679-nucleotide ribosomal RNA is filed under the name uncultured Pseudomonas sp. RNAcentral's name for it is "bacterial SSU rRNA". It matches the Rfam family "Bacterial small subunit ribosomal RNA", at positions 74 to 749 of the family's 1533-position model. Lineage: Bacteria; Pseudomonadati; Pseudomonadota; Gammaproteobacteria; Pseudomonadales; Pseudomonadaceae. The record is from RNAcentral.
GGGAGCUUGCUCCUGGAUUCAGCGGCGGACGGGUGAGUAAUGCCUAGGAAUCUGCCUGGUAGUGGGGGAUAACGUCCGGAAACGGGCGCUAAUACCGCAUACGUCCUGAGGGAGAAAGUGGGGGAUCUUCGGACCUCACGCUAUCAGAUGAGCCUAGGUCGGAUUAGCUAGUUGGUGGGGUAAAGGCCUACCAAGGCGACGAUCCGUAACUGGUCUGAGAGGAUGAUCAGUCACACUGGAACUGAGACACGGUCCAGACUCCUACGGGAGGCAGCAGUGGGGAAUAUUGGACAAUGGGCGAAAGCCUGAUCCAGCCAUGCCGCGUGUGUGAAGAAGGUCUUCGGAUUGUAAAGCACUUUAAGUUGGGAGGAAGGGCAGUAAGUUAAUACCUUGCUGUUUUGACGUUACCAACAGAAUAAGCACCGGCUAACUUCGUGCCAGCAGCCGCGGUAAUACGAAGGGUGCAAGCGUUAAUCGGAAUUACUGGGCGUAAAGCGCGCGUAGGUGGUUCAGCAAGUUGGAUGUGAAAUCCCCGGGCUCAACCUGGGAACUGCAUCCAAAACUACUGAGCUAGAGUACGGUAGAGGGUGGUGGAAUUUCCUGUGUAGCGGUGAAAUGCGUAGAUAUAGGAAGGAACACCAGUGGCGAAGGCGACCACCUGGACUGAUACUGACACUGA